GACGAACGCUGGCGGCGUGCUUAACACAUGCAAGUCGAACGGAAAGGCCCUGCUUUUGUGGGGUGCUCGAGUGGCGAACGGGUGAGUAACACGUGAGUAACCUGCCCUUGUCUUUGGGAUAACUUCAGGAAACUGGGGCUAAUACCGGAUAGGAGCUCCUGCUGCAUGGUGGGGGUUGGAAAGUUUCGGCGGUUGGGGAUGGACUCGCGGCUUAUGAGCUUGUUGGUGGGGUAGUGGCUUACCAAGGCUUUGACGGGUAGCCGGCCUGAGAGGGUGACCGGCCACAUUGGGACUGAGAUACGGCCCAGACUGCUACGGGAGGCAGCAGUGGGGAAUAUUGCACAAUGGGCGGAAGCCUGAUGCAGCAACGCCGCGUGCGGGAUGACGGCCUUCGGGUUGUAAACCGCUUUCGCCUGUGACGAAGCGUGAGUGACGGUAAUGGGUAAAGAAGCACCGGCUAACUACGUG
This 468-nucleotide ribosomal RNA is filed under the name uncultured bacterium. RNAcentral's name for it is "partial 16S ribosomal RNA". It matches the Rfam family "Bacterial small subunit ribosomal RNA", at positions 28 to 507 of the family's 1533-position model. The record is from RNAcentral.